RNAcentral lists this unclassified non-coding RNA (336 nucleotides) under soil metagenome. Its description in RNAcentral is "partial contains 5.8S ribosomal RNA, internal transcribed spacer 2, and large subunit ribosomal RNA". The stretch from base 1 to 119 matches the Rfam family "5.8S ribosomal RNA", at positions 35 to 154 of the family's 154-position model. The record is from RNAcentral.
GAUGAAGAACGUAGCGAAAUGCGAUACGUAAUGUGAAUUGCAAAUUCAGUGAAUCAUCGAGUCUUUGAACGCACAUUGCGCCCCUUGGUAUUCCAUGGGGCAUGCCUGUUCGAGCGUCAUUUGUACCUUCAAGCUUUGCUUGGUGUUGGGUGUUUGUCUCGCCUCCGCGUGUAGACUCGCCUCAAAACAAUUGGCAGCCGGCGUAUUGAUUUCGGAGCGCAGUACAUCUCGCGCUUUGCACUCACAACGACGACGUCCAAAAGUACAUUUUUACACUCUUGACCUCGGAUCAGGUAGGGAUACCCGCUGAACUUAAGCAUAUCAAUAAGCGGAGGA